RNAcentral lists this unclassified non-coding RNA (200 nucleotides) under soil metagenome. RNAcentral's name for it is "partial contains internal transcribed spacer 2 and large subunit ribosomal RNA". The record is from RNAcentral.
UCAGUACCCACUCAUCUCACCGUUUGUGCAAGCCAAUGGUGGGUGGUUUUGAGGAAACAUCUCCUCUAAUGUAGUACGCUUGCGAACCUUUAUACCGAUCAUAACGUGAUAAAAUCUAUUCGUUACCGUGAGGUCGGAGGCCGCCUGAAAUCAAACUGUAGUUUGACCUCAGAUCAGACAAGGAUACCCGCUGAACUUAA